This 253-nucleotide ribosomal RNA is filed under the name uncultured bacterium. Its description in RNAcentral is "partial 16S ribosomal RNA". It matches the Rfam family "Bacterial small subunit ribosomal RNA", at positions 524 to 776 of the family's 1533-position model. The record is from RNAcentral.
UACGAAGGGGGCUAGCGUUGCUCGGAAUCACUGGGCGUAAAGCGCACGUAGGCGGAUCGUUAAGUCAGGGGUGAAAUCCUGGAGCUCAACUCCAGAACUGCCUUUGAUACUGGCGACCUUGAGUUCGGGAGAGGUGAGUGGAACUGCGAGUGUAGAGGUGAAAUUCGUAGAUAUUCGCAAGAACACCAGUGGCGAAGGCGGCUCACUGGCCCGAUACUGACGCUGAGGCACGAAAGCGUGGGGAGCAAACAGG